UAUCUACAGGCUUAACACAUGCAAGUCGAGGGGCAGCAUGGUCUUAGCUUGCUAAGACUGAUGGCGACCGGCGCACGGGUGAGUAACACGUAUCCAACCUGCCGUCUACUCUUGGACAGCCUUCUGAAAGGAAGAUUAAUACAAGAUGGCAUCAUGAGUCCGCAUGUUCACAUGAUUAAAGGUAUUCCGGUAGACGAUGGGGAUGCGUUCCAUUAGAUAGUAGGCGGGGUAACGGCCCACCUAGUCUUCGAUGGAUAGGGGUUCUGAGAGGAAGGUCCCCCACAUUGGAACUGAGACACGGUCCAAACUCCUACGGGAGGCAGCAGUGAGGAAUAUUGGUCAAUGGGCGAGAGCCUGAACCAGCCAAGUAGCGUGAAGGAUGACUGCCCUAUGGGUUGUAAACUUCUUUUAUAAAGGAAUAAAGUCGGGUAUGCAUACCCGUUUGCAUAUACUUUAUGAAUAAGGAUCGGCUAACUCCGUGCCAGCAGCCGCGGUAAUACGGAGGAUCCGAGCGUUAUCCGGAUUUAUUGAGUUUAAAGGGAGCGUAGAUGGAUGUUUAAGUCAGUUGUGAAAGUUUGCGGCUCAACCGUAAAAUUGCAGUUGAUACUGGAUAUCUUGAGUGCAGUUGAGGCAGGCGGAAUUCGUGGUGUAGCGGUGAAAUGCUUAGAUAUCACGAAGAACUCCGAUUGCGAAGGCAGCCUGCUAAGCUGCAACUGACAUUGAGGCUCGAAAGUGUGGGUAUCAAACAGGAUUAGAUACCCUGGUAGUCCACACGGUAAACGAUGAAUACUCGCUGUUUGCGAUAUACAGCAAGCGGCCAAGCGAAAGCGUUAAGUAUUCCACCUGGGGAGUACGCCGGCAACGGUGAAACUCAAAGGAAUUGACGGGGGCCCGCACAAGCGGAGGAACAUGUGGUUUAAUUCGAUGAUACGCGAGGAACCUUACCCGGGCUUAAAUUGCAGAUGAAUUACGGUGAAAGCCGUAAGCCGCAAGGCAUCUGUGAAGGUGCUGCAUGGUUGUCGUCAGCUCGUGCCGUGAGGUGUCGGCUUAAGUGCCAUAACGAGCGCAACCCUUGUUGUCAGUUACUAACAGGUUCCGCUGAGGACUCUGACAAGACUGCCAUCGUAAGAUGUGAGGAAGGUGGGGAUGACGUCAAAUCAGCACGGCCCUUACGUCCGGGGCUACACACGUGUUACAAUGGGGGGUACAGAGGGCCGCUACCACGCGAGUGGAUGCCAAUCCCCAAAACCUCUCUCAGUUCGGACUGGAGUCUGCAACCCGACUCCACGAAGCUGGAUUCGCUAGUAAUCGCGCAUCAGCCACGGCGCGGUGAAUACGUUCCCGGGCCUUGUACACACCGCCCGUCAAGCCAUGGGAGCCGGGGGUACCUGAAGUGCGUAACCGCGAGGAGCGCCCUAGGGUAAAACUGGUGACUGGGGCUA
This 1442-nucleotide ribosomal RNA is filed under the name uncultured organism. RNAcentral's name for it is "SSU rRNA". It matches the Rfam family "Bacterial small subunit ribosomal RNA". The record is from RNAcentral.